UAUAGUUGUAUGAUGCAUUCUUGAGAGGCCUGAAUUCUAAAGCUGAUAUGAAAGGUGUCCCAGAGCCAGUGUUUGCUAGGCAGGCAAGUAGAUAGCUCAUGGUGGUCACAUUUUCUGUUUCCCUCAGGAAAGCUUCUGAGAUUUUGUAGCUGCUGGUCUAUAUCGUAUGUCCUGAAUUCCGGUGAUAUCUUCAUACUGAUGCCAGUGUCAAUGAAUGCAGCAUCAGAAACGUAAUUUAAGUAUGUUGUUUUAUCAGUGUAAGAAGCAUUAUCUGGUACUCCACAAUCUAUGCUGAUGAACCCUGAGAGAGAAACAGCACUAGGCGUUAAUUAGCUCAACUGCAAAUGUAAAGUACAGAUCAUUAAACUUUAAAGAUUGUCAUACCAGAUUGAUCUUGAGCUUUGACCACAGCUGUAAAAGCAAAGGUGCGAAGCAAUAGAAAGAGGAAGUAUUGUAACUUCACUGCAAGAAGAAAACAACACAAUCAUGAAUUUAAUAUUUUUUUC
Manihot esculenta (cassava) is the source of this 506-nucleotide long non-coding RNA. RefSeq lists it as uncharacterized. NCBI's taxonomy places the organism in Eukaryota, Viridiplantae, Streptophyta, Magnoliopsida, Malpighiales, Euphorbiaceae. The record is from RefSeq and is a predicted model, not a curated record. The transcript is spliced from 2 exons.